CGGACGGGUGAGUAACGCGUGAGUAACCUGCCUUACACAAGGGGAUAGCCGUUGGAAACGACGAAUAAUACCCUAUGAAACUAUCACUUCGCAUGAAGCGAUAGUCAAAGUGUUAGCGGUGUAAGAUGGACUUGCGUCUGAUUAGCUAGUUGGUGAGAAAAAGCCCACCAAGGCAACGAUCAGUAGCCGGCUUGAGAGAGUGUACGGCCACAUUGGGACUGAGACACGGCCCAG
RNAcentral lists this ribosomal RNA (234 nucleotides) under uncultured Eubacteriales bacterium. RNAcentral's name for it is "uncultured Clostridiales bacterium partial 16S ribosomal RNA". It matches the Rfam family "Bacterial small subunit ribosomal RNA", at positions 99 to 334 of the family's 1533-position model. Lineage: Bacteria; Bacillati; Bacillota; Clostridia; Eubacteriales. The record is from RNAcentral.